GACGAACGCUGGCGGCGUGCUUAACACAUGCAAGUCGAACGCUGAAGCUUGGUGCUUGCACUGGGUGGAUGAGUGGCGAACGGGUGAGUAAUACGUGAGUAACCUGCCCUUGACUCUGGGAUAAGCCUGGGAAACUGGGUCUAAUACUGGGUACGACAUGUCACCGCAUGGUGGUGUGUGGAAAGGGUUUUACUGGUUUUGGAUGGGCUCACGGCCUAUCAGCUUGUUGGUGGGGUAAUGGCUCACCAAGGCGACGACGGGUAGCCGGCCUGAGAGGGUGACCGGCCACACUGGGACUGAGACACGGCCCAGACUCCUACGGGAGGCAGCAGUGGGGAAUAUUGCACAAUGGGCGGAAGCCUGAUGCAGCGACGCCGCGUGAGGGAUGACGGCCUUCGGGUUGUAAACCUCUUUCAGCACGGAAGAAGCGAAAGUGACGGUACGUGCAGAAGAAGCGCCGGCUAACUACGUG
Molecule: ribosomal RNA, 472 nt
Filed under: uncultured bacterium
Lineage: Bacteria
Description: partial 16S ribosomal RNA
Rfam family: Bacterial small subunit ribosomal RNA
Source: RNAcentral